CAGCUACCAUGCAGUCGACGGUAGCACAGAGAGCUUGGUCUCUUGUGAGCGUGGGGGACAGGGGAGUAAUGUGUGGGGGACUGCGUGUGGGGGGGGGAGAUCUCCUGUGGACGGGGGCUCAUACCCCGUAACGUCUCACGAGCAAAAAGGGGGACCUUCUGGCCUCUUGCCAUCUCAUGUGCCCCCAUGGGGUUUGCUCGUGGGUGGGGGGAUGGGUCUCCUCUGCGACAAUCCCUCUCUGGGGUGAGAGGAUGACCCCCCCCACUGUAACUGAGACACGGUCCCCACUCCUCCGGGAGGGGGCAGUGGGGAAUAUUGCGCAAUGGGGGCACGCUGAUGCACCAUGCCCGUGUAUGAAAAAGCGUUGGUUGUAAAGUACUUUUCAGGGGGGAAAGGGAUACGCUAAUAACCCUGUCGAUUGGACGUUACCCCCAGAAAAAAGCACCGGCUAACUCCCUGCCAGCGCCGCGGUAAUACGGAGGGUGCGAGCGUUAAUCUGAAUUACUGGGCGUAAAGCGCACGCAGGCGGUCUGUCAAGUCGGAUGUGAAAUCCCCGGGCUCAACCUGGGAACUGCAUUCGAAACUGACAGGCUGGAGUCUUGUAGAGGGGGGGUAGAAUUCCAGGUGUAGCGGUGAAAUGCGUAGAGAUCUGGAGGAAUACCGGUGGCGAAGGCGGCCCCCUGGACAAAGACUGACGCUCAGGUGCGAAAGCGUGGGGAGCAAACAGGAUUAGAUACCCUGGUAGUCCACGCUGUAAACGAUGUCGACUUGGAGGUUGUGCCCUUGAGGCGUGGCUUCCGGAGCUAACGCGUUAAGUCGACCGCCUGGGGAGUACGGCCGCAAGGUUAAAACUCAAAUGAAUUGACGGGGCGCCCGCACAAGCGGUGGAGCAUGUGGUUUAAUUCGAUGCAACGCGAAGAACCUUACCUACUCUUGACAUCCAGAGAACUUAGCAGAGAUGCUUUGGUGGCCUUCGGGAACUCUGAGACAGGUGCUGCAUGGCUGUCGUCAGCUCGUGUUGUGAAAUGUUGGGUUAAGUCCCGCAACGAGCGCAACCCUUAUCCUUUGUUGCCAGCGGUCCGGCCGGGAACUCAAAGGAGACUGCCAGUGAUAAACUGGAGGAAGGUGGGGAUGACGUCAAGUCAUCAUGGCCCUUACGAGUAGGGCUACACACGUGCUACAAUGGCAUAUACAAAGAGAAGCGACCUCGCGAGAGCAAGCGGACCUCAUAAAGUAUGUCGUAGUCCGGAUCGGAGUCUGCAACUCGACUCCGUGAAGUCGGAAUCGCUAGUAAUCGUGGAUCAGAAUGCCACGGUGAAUACGUUCCCGGGCCUUGUACACACCGCCCGUCACACCAUGGGAGUGGGUUGCAAAAGAAGUAGGUAGCUUAACCUUCGGGAGGGCGCUACCAU
This 1412-nucleotide ribosomal RNA is filed under the name Pseudescherichia vulneris (CDC Enteric Group 1). RNAcentral describes it as "partial 16S ribosomal RNA". It matches the Rfam family "Bacterial small subunit ribosomal RNA". The record is from RNAcentral. Lineage: Bacteria; Pseudomonadati; Pseudomonadota; Gammaproteobacteria; Enterobacterales; Enterobacteriaceae.